AAAUAUUGGGACAUAUAAAAAAAGACAACUCUGUUCCGCAGAGUAGCUGUUGACAUUAUAGUUGCGCAGGAACUUUGUUGACUCUAGAGAACCUCGGGCAAAUGCACAUCCACGUGGCGGCGACUUUGCAUGCGGAUGUCAUCCAUAUCAACUUUCGAUGCCAGUUUCUGUGCCUACCAUGGUGACCACGGGUAACGGGGAAUCAGGGUUCCAUUCCGUACAGGGACCCUGAGAAACGGCUACCACAUGCAAGGAAGGCAGCAGGCGCGCAAAUGACCCACUCCCGACCGGGAAGGUAGUGAU
This is a non-coding RNA of Pelobates cultripes (western spadefoot toad), 303 nucleotides long. Lineage: Eukaryota; Metazoa; Chordata; Amphibia; Anura; Pelobatidae. The record is from the annotation of a GenBank genome assembly.